GCCCCUUCCUUUGGGCUGCCCGCCAGCCCAGCGCUCUGGGAAAGCCGUGUGCCCUUGGUGACCCCGCGCUGAGGGGAUACCGUGUCUCUCGGUGUCCCCCGGGUGCUGCCCUGGGAGAGAGGGAGGCAGCGCGGCGCUCUGGGGCGGUCUCAGCCUCUCCCGCUGACAGCCGGGCUGGCUGGGACUGUGAAAUAUGGAAAAACGAUGUGGUGCUGCUGUUCCCCCUCUGCUUUGCCUGGGGAUUACCUGCCUACAGUGUGGAAACCUCGUGUCCACACAAAUCAUGUGUGUUUCUGCACCUUGUAACGCAAAAAGCGCUCUGGUUCAGGAACUUGUUCUUACAACCCCUCUUGGUACCUGGGCAGCGAAAUGGGUGCACCCCGCUGUGUGCUGUCCCACCUGAGCACAUCAUCCAUUGGUAACUCUUGGGAGACAGAAUAAAGAAUAAAUGCAAAGCUUUGCUGUUAUGUUUAGAGGCAGAAGCUUAGGAAACCCCAGCGGGCAGUGGAAGAGCGGUGAAUGUGUCUGAGGUGAUGGGCGGGCGCGGGCAGAAUCAUCAUUCCCACAGUGGUGAGGGAACCCUCACCCACCCCAGACGUGCUGCAAACCAAAACGCUUCGAUUCCUCUGGACACGUACUGCAAUUCAUGCUGUUCUUGGCCUCGUGGUGUUUUACGGUGGCCCAGGCGUCUCCCAGGAGGUGUGUGGGGUGGGUGAUGGCUUUUCCACGGGUGACCGAGGAGUCAUUUCCUGCUCCGUCACCUGCCUGCUGGAAGCUCCUCACAGCUGCAUCUUCCUGCAUUCCUCCAUCCCUCUGGGGCGCUGCAAAACGCCCGCCUGGUGCUUCCCAGCUGACUCAGUUAAUUACUGAAAUUAGCAAAACUUGUCCUCGGCCCUUGGCUUUUAAAUAAAUAGCCAAUGAGAUAAAUCUAGGUUUUCACAGAGCACCCGUGGUUCCCAUGAAAUGUGGUCUCAUAUUGAGAGUUCCUUCUGUGAGGAAUUUGCCAAGAGCCAGGGGACCAGAGAUGUUACAAUGGUGGCCUCACAUCUGCUGGAACUGCACCCCUGACUGGCAUUAUCUCCACUAUCUCUGCAUUAAGCAUCCUGAUGUUUCAGUCCCCUGGGGAAAUCUACUGACCUGGGGUUCCUGAUGCAGUGGACAAGCUCAGCCACUGUAGCAGAGCUGUGGCCAUCAGAAGAAGGACCUGAGCAGCCUCCUGCUGAUAUAACCUCAAUUUCCCACCAAGCCUGAGCAUUUCUGACAGCAGAAAGCAUUUACCAGUGGACUGCUGAGCACAUCAAGGUGGAUACAGUUCUCUUGUUGUUUGGAUUGGGAGAGGGGUAACUUGUAGCACAGAUUGCUGGCCUGCAGGCAUCCAGAGAUCAACAACCAUCUUCCUGUGAUACCAAGCCCCCUGUGAAACAGACAGCCCUUACCCACAGCAUUCAUAAUGCAGAGGAGCCAUCACUCUGAUCAGAAGCUGAAAUCCUGCUUUGUGCUCCUCCAGUGUGGAAAUCUGUCAGCUCCUGUGACCCCUAUUACUGUAAUACCCGAGAACAUCACCUCUGGUCGUGCACUGAGCCUCGCAGUAUCUGAAGAAAGUUAGACUUGCAUUAAUAUUAUUUUCCUCUGUUCUACAUGGAGAACUGAGGCAAAGCCAGGUCAAGUGAUUCACCCAAAGGUGCUCUUUGAAAAGGGGUCCUAGUGCUGCACACACGUGCCCAGCCUUUGGCUGGUAUUUAAAACCGAGUUCUUUUGAUUGCAGAAAUGGCUUCAAGCAAGCCCCAAACACCCAACAGCAAACCAGAUGACAGGGCACAAACCACAGGCUUUUGCUCAAAAGCCAGCUGAGAGACUGAAGUGAGAAAGGGUUCUGAGUUUCAUCCCUGCUGAACUGAGGAAGAUCGUGUGUGAACUGACAUCGCCGCAGAUCCGGGGAAGGCACGGAAAAUCCGAACGGUGAGAACCUGAACCUCGGAGAAACAGCCUCACUUUUCUCAGGAGAAAAGAUGAAUCCACAGAGUAGAUCUUGCCACAGCAGAAGGAACAUGUGUCAUGGGAACAGCAGAGGCAAAAUGUGUCAUGGGAAAAUCUUGACGGAUUCAGCCCAGGACGCGAAUAUGCAAAUUGAGACCAAAUUAAAUGCAAUUGAGCAAGAUAACACAUAUCCCAGCAAUGAAGAAAACUCACAGCACACUCGCAAAAAAGAUGGAGUUUAAAUCCAAGGAGGGGGGUCUGAGAAUGUCUAAGCAGUCCCCAGUGACUAAAUUUUAGCAGGAAUAUGAAAAUUUCUCCAAAAAGGAGUCAGGAAAGUGUUGCAGGAAUCAAACAAGGAGUAACUGAAGUGCAAGGACUCAGUGGAAGAGGUGUAACCUUCCCCCCAACACAGCAAAGCUGUUAUUAAAUAAUAAUAUAGUUUUUCUGCUAUUAAAAAGUCAUCCUGUGGCUCACUUCUGGGAUACUGUAUAUUUUUUCUCUUCCUGGCCUGCUCUGCUGAAAGAGGGAUUUUCAAGAGUUGCUGGUUUCUAUCUCCAAAGUAGCUCAAUUUCAGUUCCAGGGGAAAUGAAACUCUCAACUAACUUCAUUUGUAAAAUCUUUGAAGAUGUGGGAAUGUCCUCUGGCUGUAAGGAGAGGGAGUGUGAUUCAGAGCCUGGUACAGAUAUAUAAAGGGGUUCAAUAUUUAAUUAAACGUAAUCUUCCUUGUGGCA
Passer domesticus (house sparrow) is the source of this 2708-nucleotide long non-coding RNA. RefSeq lists it as uncharacterized. The transcript has 6 exons. Lineage: Eukaryota; Metazoa; Chordata; Aves; Passeriformes; Passeridae. The record is from RefSeq and is a predicted model, not a curated record.